GCUGGGCACGGUGGCGCAUGCCUGUAAUCCCAGCUACUUGGGAGGCUGAGGCAGGAGAAUUGCUUGAGCCUGGGAGGUGGUGGUUGUGGUGAGCUGAGAUAGUGCCACUGCACUCCAGCCUGGGUAACAGAGCGAGACCCAGUCUCAA
This 148-nucleotide non-coding RNA is filed under the name Pan troglodytes (chimpanzee). Lineage: Eukaryota; Metazoa; Chordata; Mammalia; Primates; Hominidae. The record is from Rfam by way of RNAcentral.